CGUUUGACUUAUAAAAAUGGUGGAAACAUAGAUUAAGUUAUUAAGGGCGCACGGUGGAUGCCUUGGCACUAGAAGCCGAUGAAGGACGUUACUAACGACGAUAUGCUUUGGGGAGCUGUAAGUAAGCUUUGAUCCAGAGAUUUCCGAAUGGGGAAACCCAGCAUGAGUUAUGUCAUGUUAUCGAUAUGUGAAUACAUAGCAUAUCAGAAGGCACACCCGGAGAACUGAAACAUCUUAGUACCCGGAGGAAGAGAAAGAAAAUUCGAUUCCCUUAGUAGCGGCGAGCGAAACGGGAAGAGCCCAAACCAACAAGCUUGCUUGUUGGGGUUGUAGGACACUCUAUACGGAGUUACAAAGGACGACAUUAGACGAAUCAUCUGGAAAGAUGAAUCAAAGAAGGUAAUAAUCCUGUAGUCGAAAAUGUUGUCUCUCUUGAGUGGAUCCUGAGUACGACGGAGCACGUGAAAUUCCGUCGGAAUCUGGGAGGACCAUCUCCUAAGGCUAAAUACUCUCUAGUGACCGAUAGUGAACCAGUACCGUGAGGGAAAGGUGAAAAGCACCCCGGAAGGGGAGUGAAAUAGAACCUGAAACCGUGUGCUUACAAGUAGUCAGAGCCCGUUAAYGGGUGAUGGCGUGCCUUUUGUAGAAUGAACCGGCGAGUUACGAUUUGAUGCAAGGUUAAGCAGUAAAUGUGGAGCCGUAGCGAAAGCGAGUCUGAAUAGGGCGUUUAGUAUUUGGUCGUAGACCCGAAACCAGGUGAUCUACCCUUGGUCAGGUUGAAGUUCAGGUAACACUGAAUGGAGGACCGAACCGACUUACGUUGAAAAGUGAGCGGAUGAACUGAGGGUAGCGGAGAAAUUCCAAUCGAACCUGGAGAUAGCUGGUUCUCUCCGAAAUAGCUUUAGGGCUAGCCUCAAGUGAUGAUUAUUGGAGGUAGAGCACUGUUUGGACGAGGGGCCCCUCUCGGGUUACCGAAUUCAGACAAACUCCGAAUGCCAAUUAAUUUAACUUGGGAGUCAGAACAUGGGUGAUAAGGUCCGUGUUCGAAAGGGAAACAGCCCAGACCACCAGCUAAGGUCCCAAAAUAUAUGUUAAGUGGAAAAGGAUGUGGCGUUGCCCAGACAACUAGGAUGUUGGCUUAGAAGCAGCCAUCAUUUAAAGAGUGCGUAAUAGCUCACUAGUCGAGUGACACUGCGCCGAAAAUGUACCGGGGCUAAACAUAUUACCGAAGCUGUGGAUUGUCCUUUGGACAAUGGUAGGAGAGCGUUCUAAGGGCGUUGAAGCAUGAUCGUAAGGACAUGUGGAGCGCUUAGAAGUGAGAAUGCCGGUGUGAGUAGCGAAAGACGGGUGAGAAUCCCGUCCACCGAUUGACUAAGGUUUCCAGAGGAAGGCUCGUCCGCUCUGGGUUAGUCGGGUCCUAAGCUGAGGCCGACAGGCGUAGGCGAUGGAUAACAGGUUGAUAUUCCUGUACCACCUAUAAUCGUUUUAAUCGAUGGGGGGACGCAGUAGGAUAGGCGAAGCGUGCGAUUGGAUUGCACGUCUAAGCAGUAAGGCUGAGUAUUAGGCAAAUCCGGUACUCGUUAAGGCUGAGCUGUGAUGGGGAGAAGACAUUGUGUCUUCGAGUCGUUGAUUUCACACUGCCGAGAAAAGCCUCUAGAUAGAAAAUAGGUGCCCGUACCGCAAACCGACACAGGUAGUCAAGAUGAGAAUUCUAAGGUGAGCGAGCGAACUCUCGUUAAGGAACUCGGCAAAAUGACCCCGUAACUUCGGGAGAAGGGGKGCUCUUUAGGGUUAACGCCCAGAAGAGCCGCAGUGAAUAGGCCCAAGCGACUGUUUAUCAAAAACACAGGUCUCUGCUAAACCGUAAGGUGAUGUAUAGGGGCUGACGCCUGCCCGGUGCUGGAAGGUUAAGAGGAGUGGUUAGCUUCUGCGAAGCUACGAAUCGAAGCCCCAGUAAACGGCGGCCGUAACUAUAACGGUCCUAAGGUAGCGAAAUUCCUUGUCGGGUAAGUUCCGACCCGCACGAAAGGCGUAACGAUUUGGGCACUGUCUCAACGAGAGACUCGGUGAAAUCAUAGUACCUGUGAAGAUGCAGGUUACCCGCGACAGGACGGAAAGACCCCGUGGAGCUUUACUGUAGCCUGAUAUUGAAAUUCGGCACAGCUUGUACAGGAUAGGUAGGAGCCUUUGAAACGUGAGCGCUAGCUUACGUGGAGGCGCUGGUGGGAUACUACCCUAGCUGUGUUGGCUUUCUAACCCGCACCACUUAUCGUGGUGGGAGACAGUGUCAGGCGGGCAGUUUGACUGGGGCGGUCGCCUCCUAAAAGGUAACGGAGGCGCUCAAAGGUUCCCUCAGAAUGGUUGGAAAUCAUUCAUAGAGUGUAAAGGCAUAAGGGAGCUUGACUGCGAGACCUACAAGUCGAGCAGGGUCGAAAGACGGACUUAGUGAUCCGGUGGUUCCGCAUGGAAGGGCCAUCGCUCAACGGAUAAAAGCUACCCCGGGGAUAACAGGCUUAUCUCCCCCAAGAGUUCACAUCGACGGGGAGGUUUGGCACCUCGAUGUCGGCUCAUCGCAUCCUGGGGCUGUAGUCGGUCCCAAGGGUUGGGCUGUUCGCCCAUUAAAGCGGUACGCGAGCUGGGUUCAGAACGUCGUGAGACAGUUCGGUCCCUAUCCGUCGUGGGCGUAGGAAAUUUGAGAGGAGCUGUCCUUAGUACGAGAGGACCGGGAUGGACAUACCUCUGGUGUACCAGUUGUCGUGCCAACGGCAUAGCUGGGUAGCUAUGUGUGGACGGGAUAAGUGCUGAAAGCAUCUAAGCAUGAAGCCCCCCUCAAGAUGAGAUUUCCCAACUUCGGUUAUAAGAUCCCUCAAAGAUGAUGAGGUUAAUAGGUUCGAGGUGGAAGCAUGGUGACAUGUGGAGCUGACGAAUACUAAUCGAUCGAAGACUUAAUCAA
Molecule: ribosomal RNA, 2953 nt
Filed under: Staphylococcus aureus subsp. aureus CN1
Lineage: Bacteria; Bacillati; Bacillota; Bacilli; Caryophanales; Staphylococcaceae
Description: bacterial LSU rRNA
Rfam family: Bacterial large subunit ribosomal RNA
Source: RNAcentral